GAGGGCAUAGCUCAGUGGUAGAGUGUGUGCCUGGCACGCACAAGGCCCUGCAUUCU
This 56-nucleotide transfer RNA is filed under the name Camelus dromedarius (Arabian camel). It matches the Rfam family "tRNA", at positions 1 to 55 of the family's 71-position model. From Rfam's summary of the family: Transfer RNA (tRNA) molecules are approximately 80 nucleotides in length. Their secondary structure includes four short double-helical elements and three loops (D, anti-codon, and T loops). RNAcentral also lists the same sequence under 1 other name. Lineage: Eukaryota; Metazoa; Chordata; Mammalia; Artiodactyla; Camelidae. The record is from Rfam by way of RNAcentral.